RNAcentral lists this ribosomal RNA (308 nucleotides) under uncultured bacterium. Its description in RNAcentral is "partial 16S ribosomal RNA". It matches the Rfam family "Bacterial small subunit ribosomal RNA", at positions 505 to 807 of the family's 1533-position model. The record is from RNAcentral.
GAGACAGCAGUAGCCGCGGUAAUACGUAGGGUGCGAGCGUUAAUCGGAAUUACUGGGCGUAAAGCGUGCGCAGGCGGUUGUGUAAGACAGGUGUGAAAUCCCCGGGCUUAACCUGGGAACUGCGCUUGUGACUGCACAGCUAGAGUAUGGCAGAGGGGGGUGGAAUUCCACGUGUAGCAGUGAAAUGCGUAGAGAUGUGGAGGAACACCGAUGGCGAAGGCAGCCCCCUGGGCCAAUACUGACGCUCAUGCACGAAAGCGUGGGGAGCAAACAGGAUUAGAUACCCGCGUAGUCCCUGUCUCUUAUAC